Molecule: ribosomal RNA, 491 nt
Filed under: uncultured bacterium
Lineage: Bacteria
Description: bacterial SSU rRNA
Rfam family: Bacterial small subunit ribosomal RNA
Source: RNAcentral
GAUGAACGCUAGCGGCAGGCCUAAUACAUGCAAGACGAACGGUAAGUUGAGUAGCAAUACUUAGCCAAGAGUGUCGUACGGGUGCGUAACACGUAUGCAACCUACCCUAUACAGGAGGAUAGCCUAGGGAAACCUGGAUUAACCCUUCAUAGUAUUAUUGGAUGGCAUCAUUUGAUAAUUAAAACUGAGGUGGUAUAGGAUGGGCAUGCGUCUGAUUAGUUAGUUGGCGGGGUAAUGGCCCACCAAGACGAUGAUCAGUAGGGGUUCUGAGAGGAAGAUCCCCCACACUGGCACUGAGAUACGGGCCAGACUCCUACGGGAGGCAGCAGUAGGGAAUAUUGGUCAAUGGAUGCAAGUCUGAACCAGCCAUGCCGCGUGCAGGAAGAAGGCCUUCUGGGUUGUAAACUGCUUUUGCCAGGGGGAUAAAAUUUCCAUGCGUGGAAAACUGAAGGUACCUGGUGAAUAAGCCACGGUUAACUACGUGCCAGCAG